GUGUGAUAAGCGCACAGAAAACACUGAUGUCAUCUUAGACUCUGGGAUAACUCCUCAGAGAGCUCCUACCAGACACACAGAAAAGGGAAGCGGAGCCACUACACAGAAGGAAUCCUAUGAGCCCACAUCAUGAGUGUGUACUUCCUCCGCACGUCCUUCCUUCUGGACCAUCCCAGCAAGAGCAAUGUCUUACCAAGUUUACCAUGGUGGCCUUGAACUUAACCUAUAGCUCAGGAAGACCUUGAACUUGGAAGCUCAGUCCACCAGCCUCGCGGCCUCCUACUUAGCUGGAAUUACAGGUUUGCGGACACUUAUUCUUGUUUCAUACAUAAUUAAGUAUCACUCUGAAAACCACCUAUGCUGCUGGCCUUCAGAAUCCAGUCUCUUCCCAUGUAUCAGGAUCCUUUCCCAUCUGGCCAUGAUCCACCCACUCUGCCUUCUGUGGAAUAGGAACCAGGUUCAGAAACUGAUAUAAUAAUGCAGGGAAAUCCACUGGUGACCUGAACCAGGGUGGCAGUACAGAAAGCAGGGAAGAGACCCAAACUCUCCCCAGCCCCCAUCAUCUGCAAGGCAGAGAGCUUCCCAGGUUUGUCCAAGCUGGGCAUGUGGCCCAGGACAGAAAGCACCACCUUCUUGCUAGCAUCCUUGUCCUUUGCCCAAGAUGACACAGCAAAGGAAGUCAGAGUCAGAAAUCAAAUCACGAUGUGUUUGAUUUGAGAGCACACCCUCUCCCCAAGCCCAGCCUCCUGUUCACUUGGACCACCUCCAAGCUGUAUCACAUGGAAAUCCCAUAGGUCAAGACAGCCAGAUCCCACAUGCCUGGCCCUCAUUCAAACCAGAAAAACAGAAAGGAGAUUGUUGAAUUAGUCCCAUACACUGUAGCUUAAAUAACCCUUCCUCCACAUGUCCACGAAACCACGUGAAGCAUGGGACUAGAGCCCGACCCUGGGACACCAGCAAGCACUUGACCCUGGCAUCUGGCUUUAUCAAUUGGGCUUUGGUAACAACCUAAGAUUGCUAAAAUCUGACUAAAUGACUUCUCUUUGGCAGAGGCUGCCAGGCAAUUCGUCAUCACAGAUUACCCAAAGGGUCAAUCCUGAAGUCAUAAGCCCACUACAGAGAAGACUCAAAAUAAUAAUAUGUUUGCAAGUGGGAAAAUUAUUUUUAUCAUAACCUGACCCAGAAAUACAGAAUUUGAUGUUGGGAAGAUUUUCAGUUAGUAGCAUCCAUGAGUUCAAACGUGAUUUUCUACUUGGAAUCUUCUGGCUGGGAAACUUUCUCAAUAUAAUAUAGUAACGCAAGUGUAUUUGUGGGGGAGCUUUUCAAAAUAGGCACACACACACCACACUGCAAAUAGUCAACCGUGGCCAUAAUAUAGUUUUUAAACUUUUCAAAAAUACUGGGGUAAUGCUUCACUAAAAUUCUCUAACAUAAGAUAUUAGAAAGAUAUUUUAAUAGGUUUCUUUUCUCAUUCUCAAAUUUCCUAUUGCCAAAAUUAAAACAAAGAGGCCUUAUAUCAAUCUGCUUCUCUCUUCCCCACCCCUCCUCCUUUAUCAUUUCUCCCCCCCCCAUCCUGUUUCUCUCCCUCUCCUCCCCUUUCCCUUUCUCUCCCUCCCUCUCUUCUGGGCAGAUUUUUUUGCUGUUCAGCCUCAGAGACCCCAGAGGUCUGACUGUUAAGAGUACCAAUUUCCGGCUGAGGACUCCAUCGAAGAGACUGAAGGAUAACUGACAUCACAAUUUAUUGCCACCCCAAAACAACCUUCUCAACUCAAAGCAAAACCAUAAUUACGGGUGAGAAAGACACUCUCUGCUAACUGGCUGUGAAAGACUGAUUUACAAUACAUUCUGCCUCCCAGCAGAAGGCUCUUGGCAGUCACAAAUGCCGGGUUUUGUGUAUUCAGGGGCAAAGCUCAGAGGAGCAGAAGAGAGUUAAAAGGACAUUCUGCAUGGGAAGUGUGCCUCUUUCCAGCACAUUUACCCCAUAAAGUCUGAGCGCUAAGAGCCUCUGGAAAACUCCCCACUAGGAAAACAAACUUGUACCGUAGCAAUGACAAAGACUCAACAUUCCUCCCCCACCACCACACCACCACCCCGUCUGUCUGUCUUUCUCUCUUUCUGUCUUUCUCUCUCUCAAAUGCAGUCCCCCUUACCCACUGAAAUCUCCUGGUCACUAUUUAUACCUUCCAGGAAGAAAAGUUCUUCCAAGGAUGAGGAGAAAAGCCAACACAGAUUUAAGUUGCAAACCUGACCUGGCAGCGGAGAUUAGUGCCUUUAAAUAGCAUUAGGUUCUUGUUUUCAGGGAACUGUCAAACCUUAAAGCUAAAAGAACACUCUUGAGAUAAGCAGGCACUGAGAGCAGGCCUCCCUGACAUUACAGGAAGGAAGGCCUGGCAAACACGGCAGGGAGCUUCAAGAAAACAUAAGAAGAACGCAGGCAUCAUCCAAAGGACCCAGGAAGCCCAGCUGUAGAGUCACCUAGAAUGGAGCUCUGCCCUGGGCCAUGUCUUUUGCAUCCCCACUUGAUCCAGCAGCCGGUGCCCCUGAUGCAGAAACAACAGUUUUCAAUUUCACCUCGGAUAGAUGUGGUCUCCAAACAGAACUAACCUCAAGCCUCUCCAGGGAACUGGGAAUUGAUUACUAGAGGAUGGCCUCAUAUCAAGGGAGAAAUGAGAAAUGGGUUGGUUCAGUUUCCUGCAUGAAGGUGGUUUUUUUGUUUGUUUGUUUAUUUGCUUGCUUGUUUUUGAGACAUUAAUGUGUGCACUAGGGUUCAAUCUGCCUCUUAGUAGGGAACUUGGGCUCUGGGUCUCAUGUGCUCGAGCAGCUGGGAUAGUUAUAAUAAUUUGCUGUGGAGAUGACCUGUAAUGAUUUGCCCAAGUGCCUGAAAUUAAGCUGCCACUAUUUUGGUCUUAACACAGGGAAUUACAUCUUUAACAUAGGAGUCAUCUCCUAUGCUGCAAACUCAGGGUUCAUCCCUCUAAACCCAGACAUGGGACUCUCUGGGAGCCAAGAAAGCAAAGGGGCAGUUGGCUAUGCAGAGACUAAGGAUGAGAAGAAAAUACCCCAUUCCUGUAAAGAUGGCCUGGUUAAGGCACAUGCCAAUAAUCCCAAUAGCUGGAAGGCUGAGGCAGGAGGAUUUUGAACUCUAGCCAGUGUGGGUUAUAUUUUAAAAAUAGGGAGGAUGGGAAAGAGAAGAAGCAUACAGGAGAAAGCAGAAGGGACGCCUCGACUGUUUGCCACACCCAUAGGCCUGGGGCCUUCUCACACUUAGUUUCAAAAGUCAGAAAACAAAGUCAAGGGGUAAAUAAUCCACUGUGGUCAUUGCAUUAGUGGAUUUUCUCCUGGCUGGAACCAAACACCUAGCAAAAGGCAGUGUGUGUGUGUGUGUGUGUGUGUGUGUGUGUGUGUGUGUGUGUGGCGGGGGAGGGGAGCACACAGUUUGAGGGAAUACAGUCCAUCAUGGGCAUGAAGGCGUGUGAGCAGAGGCGUGAGGCAGCCGUUUGCCUUGCUUCCACAGUUCGGAAAGCAGAAAGAAGAUGGGAAGUGGACCAGGUCCUAUAACCUCAAGGUCAGUCACAAGUGACUCAUUUCCUAUGGGGACACGUCAUAUCAAAUUACUAUAGCUACCUAAGCUCCAAAAUGUCUCGUUCCCGUUCUUGGACUAAAUAGAACAGGUGUAGGGUGCUGAAAGAAACACAAGCGUGAGGAGGAACUGAGCUAGGUUUAGGAGGAAGGUGGGAAGGGAAGGCCCAGAGAGAGCAGAGGUGGGGAGAUGGGCUUGCUGGAAGGAAAUCUGGCUACAAGCAUGAAGAUUCCUUUAGUUGCAAUAAUAAUAAUAAUAAUAAUAAUAAUAAGCCAAACAUAUUGUGCACUAUGGACUCUUUCUUGCGCUGCUCAAUUUCUGUCCCAGAUGCUGAGAGGAGGGUGCAUCUGUCUACCAUCAGCCCUUGUCAGGAUUCAGGGGUCAGAGAAGCAGCUGUUGCUAAGCCACUCAGGCCAGGCUUUCUGCACUUAGCUGAUUGCUUUCCUAACCACCUUAUUUAUUCACCACGAUUGUUCUGAUGGGGAAACAGGUCCACUCCCAAGUCCACCAAAUAGGGGUCCUAGGCUGGACCAAGACGUAAAUCACACAUCCAAGUUGUCAGCAGUGAUUUCCUGUUCUCAAAGCCGGCCCUGAGAGUGGUAUGGGAGGUGGAGACCGGGCAGUGGCAUAGCUCUUCAAGAGUCUAUGGUCACAGUCAUGCUCAGGAUGGAUCUUCCAGACUGCAGACAUUCAAACCUUCAAUGAACAAAGUACACAUGAAUAGGAGGCAGACAGGAAGGGACACAGCCUUCAGUUCUUCUGGGACACAGGGAAUGAUCAGCAAUUUGUGACAUUUUUAGCCUUUCCCUAAUGGAAA
This is a long non-coding RNA of Alexandromys fortis (reed vole), 4397 nucleotides long. RefSeq lists it as uncharacterized. The transcript has 3 exons. Lineage: Eukaryota; Metazoa; Chordata; Mammalia; Rodentia; Cricetidae. The record is from RefSeq and is a predicted model, not a curated record.